RNAcentral lists this ribosomal RNA (486 nucleotides) under uncultured archaeon. RNAcentral describes it as "bacterial SSU rRNA". It matches the Rfam family "Archaeal small subunit ribosomal RNA", at positions 381 to 867 of the family's 1478-position model. The record is from RNAcentral.
CCGAGUGCCAGCAUCAUAUGCUGGCUGUCCAGAUGUGUAAACUACAUCUGUUAGCAAGGGCCGGGCAAGACCGGUGCCAGCCGCCGCGGUAACACCGGCGGCCCGAGUGGUGACCGUUAUUAUUGGGUCUAAAGGGUCCGUAGCCGGUUUGGUCAGUCCUCCGGGAAAUCUGAUAGCUUAACUGUUAGGCUUUCGGGGGAUACUGCCAGGCUUGGAACCGGGAGAGGUAAGAGGUACUACAGGGGUAGGAGUGAAAUCUUGUAAUCCCUGUGAGACCACCUGUGGCGAAGGCGUCUUACCAGAACGGGUUCGACGGUGAGGGACGAAAGCUGGGGGCACGAACCGGAUUAGAUACCCGGGUAGUCCCAGCCGUAAACUAUGCUCGCUAGGUGUCAGGCAUGGCGCGACCGUGUCUGGUGCCGCAGGGAAGCCGUGAAGCGAGCCACCUGGGAAGUACGGCCGCAAGGCUGAAACUUAAAGGAAUUG